Molecule: ribosomal RNA, 433 nt
Filed under: uncultured bacterium
Lineage: Bacteria
Description: partial 16S ribosomal RNA
Rfam family: Bacterial small subunit ribosomal RNA
Source: RNAcentral
AACGAACGCUGGCGGCAUGCCUAACACAUGCAAGUCGAACGAGGCCUUCGGGUCUAGUGGCGCACGGGUGCGUAACGCGUGGGAACCUGCCCUUAGGUUCGGAAUAACUCCCCGAAAGGGGUGCUAAUACCGGAUAAUGUCUUCGGACCAAAGAUUUAUCGCCUUUGGAUGGGCCCGCGUUGGAUUAGCUAGUUGGUAGGGUAAAAGCCUACCAAGGCGACGAUCCAUAGCUGGUCUGAGAGGAUGAUCAGCCACACUGGGACUGAGACACGGCCCAGACUCCUACGGGAGGCAGCAGUGGGGAAUAUUGGACAAUGGGCGAAAGCCUGAUCCAGCAAUGCCGCGUGAGUGAUGAAGGCCUUAGGGUUAUAAAGCUCUUUUACCCGGGAUGAUAAUGUCAGUACCGGGAGAAUAAGCUCCGGCUAACUCCGUG